CCUUAUCUGGGGUGAGAAAUCAUCUGGUGCAGUUCCUUUUGGGACAAUGUUUGCUCUGGUCCUUCUCUGGUUUGGCAUCUCCGUGCCACUGGUCUUUGUUGGAAGUUUCUUGGGAUUCAAGCAGCCAGCCAUUGAGGACCCAGUCAAGACAAACAAGAUUCCCAGGCAAAUUCCCGAGCAAGCAUGGUACCUGCAGCCAGCUUUCUCGAUACUUGCUGGUGGCAUUUUGCCAUUUGGUGCUGUCUUCAUUGAGCUCUUCUUCAUCCUCACAUCUAUCUGGCUGAACCAGUUCUACUACAUCUUUGGCUUCCUCUUCAUAGUCUUCGUCAUUCUCCUGGUAACCUGUGCUGAGAUCACAAUUGUGCUCUGCUACUUCCAGCUAUGCAGCGAGGACUACCACUGGUGGUGGAGAGCCUACCUGACCGCAGGCUCUUCAGCUCUAUAUCUUUUCGCUUAUGCUAUCUUCUACUUCUUCAACAAGUUGGAGAUCACAAAGCUUGUUUCAGGCAUUCUCUACUUUGGUUACAUGCUGAUCAUUUCUUAUGCCUUCUUUGUCCUGACUGGCACCAUUGGCUUCUAUGCUUGCUUCUGGUUUGUGAGGAAGAUCUAUGCUUCUGUGAAGAUCGACUGAUGUAGCAACUUCCAAGAUAAGUUUCCUGUCUGCUUCUAGAGACUCUCCCGGACAAGGUUUUCUUGCAAUAUCAUACAUGCUGCUGUUCAAGUGACAUAUAUGAAGGAAACUGGGAUUUGAGAUGGGAUUCCAUGGUUUUGGUAGAAUAUGUAGCCUGGUAGGAUUAAGAAUCACCGGAUAUUCACGGAUGUUGAAGAGAGAAUUUGAUACUCGUUGCAGAUUAGCAUGUCUUGUAAUUCUAAAGAUAUUGAGUGCUCCUGUACUGUUUCGGAUCUCAAUUGACCAUGUCUGUUCCAUUUGUGUUUUAUGUCUUACACGCAGUAUGCUGGACAUGGCACUAUUUCUUAGUGCAUAACUUUCUCGU
Molecule: long non-coding RNA, 995 nt
Filed under: Triticum aestivum (bread wheat)
Lineage: Eukaryota; Viridiplantae; Streptophyta; Magnoliopsida; Poales; Poaceae
Description: long non-coding RNA (TAES_LNC018187)
Source: RNAcentral